GAUGAACGCUGGCGGCGUGCCUAAUACAUGCAAGUCGAGCGAACAGACGAGGCGCUUGCUCCUCUGACGUUAGCGGCGGACGGGUGAGUAACACGUGGAUAACCUCCCUAUAAGACUGGGAUAACUUCGGGAAACCGGAGCUAAUACCGGAUAAUAUAUUGAACAGCAUGGUUCAAUAGUGAAAGACGGUUUUGCUGUCACUUAUAGAUGGAUCCGCGCCGCAUUAGCUAGUUGGUAAGGUAACGGCUUACCAAGGCAACGAUGGGUAGCCGACCUGAGAGGGUGAUUGGCCACACGGGAAGUGAGACACGGUCCCGACUCUUACGGGAGGCAGCAGUAGGGAAUCUUCCGCAAUGGGCGAAAGGGUGACGGAGCAACGUCGCGUGAGUGAUGAAGGUCUUCGGCUCGUAAAACUCUGUUAUUAGGGAAGAACAAAUGUGUAAGUAACUAUGCACGUCUUGACGGUACCUAAUCAGAAAGCCACGGCUAACUACGUG
This 497-nucleotide ribosomal RNA is filed under the name uncultured bacterium. Its description in RNAcentral is "partial 16S ribosomal RNA". It matches the Rfam family "Bacterial small subunit ribosomal RNA", at positions 28 to 507 of the family's 1533-position model. The record is from RNAcentral.